UACGUAGGGUGCGAGCGUUAAUCGGAAUUACUGGGCGUAAAGCGUGCGCAGGCGGUUUUGUAAGCCAGAUGUGAAAUCCCCGGGCUUAACCUGGGAAUGGCAUUUGGGACUGCAAGGCUCGAGUGCGGCAGAGGAGACUGGAAUUCCUGGUGUAGCAGUGAAAUGCGUAGAUAUCAGGAGGAACACCGGUGGCGAAGGCGGGUCUCUGGGCCGAUACUGACGCUGAGGAGCGAAAGCGUGGGGAGCAAACAGG
RNAcentral lists this ribosomal RNA (253 nucleotides) under uncultured bacterium. RNAcentral describes it as "partial 16S ribosomal RNA". It matches the Rfam family "Bacterial small subunit ribosomal RNA", at positions 524 to 776 of the family's 1533-position model. The record is from RNAcentral.